AGGAACACGAGUUUGUUUUCCUGGCACUAUAGUGGUCCUUUAAUAAAAGACUGCAUAUUGCAAAGGUAUAUGAAACAAUACAGAGAAAGAAAGACAUUUUAAACACAUUUAGUACAUUUCUUUGUAAUGUAAGCUGCAAAAAUACAGAGAAUUACUGGCCCCACUUAUUAGGUUCACGCAGAGUGCUCCACUUGUCAGUAAUUAUUCAAUGAGUGUCCCUACUAAUUUGUUUUAACUGGAAACUCUGGGCAUCUAUACAAUAAUCA
Non-coding RNA from Pelobates cultripes (western spadefoot toad), 266 nucleotides. The record is from the annotation of a GenBank genome assembly. Lineage: Eukaryota; Metazoa; Chordata; Amphibia; Anura; Pelobatidae.